Molecule: non-coding RNA, 45 nt
Organism: Schistosoma curassoni
Lineage: Eukaryota; Metazoa; Platyhelminthes; Trematoda; Strigeidida; Schistosomatidae
Source: Rfam
AUCCAGCUGAACAGUCUCAAAUAGGACGAAACGCGCUUCCUGGAU